Hippocampus comes (tiger tail seahorse) is the source of this 586-nucleotide long non-coding RNA. RefSeq lists it as uncharacterized. The record is from RefSeq and is a predicted model, not a curated record. The transcript is spliced from 2 exons. Lineage: Eukaryota; Metazoa; Chordata; Actinopteri; Syngnathiformes; Syngnathidae.
AAAAAUCCAAAAAACAUCUAGACCUUUAAUCUUGAGGGGACAAAAUGCUGCAGGACUCCUGCUGGGUGAAGAAGUGGCGGAGUUGUACAGCCCCUCCCAGAUAGUUCCAGUAUCAAAGAUACGGGCCUCUCGGAAGUCCUCCGAGCCAAGAUGGAGGACGCUGGAGGGCUUGUCCUCCCAGGACUGCUCCGGAGGCGGCGGGGCCUGCGGACUGGAGCAUGGAGAGCCGUGAAAUACAGUAUACUGUAUUGUCGACAUUUUAAAGACUACCAUCAAUUCUUUUUUCAAAGGUUAAAACAAGACUACCGUAUACAUUGUGCAGUUUCAAAUGAGAGCGACUAGCCCAACUCCUCUGGAUAUGAUUACGAUUUUAAACUAAGAAAGAAUCUCAUGCGCUAUAAAAGGAGCGUGAUCUUAUGUCGCGUUCUGCAUUUGGCCUGAAUGGAGCCUGCAAUGAUGUCAAACUUCCUGUACAUUUCCCAGUUAAGCCUCUCCACCCAUGACUUUCCCCUACCGGACGCACAUUUUCCCAUUGCUUUACGACCAAAAGGAGACAAUGAAGACAUCACGAGUAGACUAGAAAAGU